RNAcentral lists this long non-coding RNA (227 nucleotides) under Physcomitrium patens. RNAcentral describes it as "long non-coding RNA (PPAT_LNC012250)". Lineage: Eukaryota; Viridiplantae; Streptophyta; Bryopsida; Funariales; Funariaceae. The record is from RNAcentral.
GCAACAAGAUUAACAAGAAAUAAAGAUAUAGUGAUGGUUGGAGCUACUUCAAUAUCUAUAUCAAAUCAUAUUACUUCUCCUAUAAUAGAAUAUCCUUCAAGUGUAAGAGAAACAAAAAUUAUCAUACGUGAGAAGUUUAAUGGCAUAAGAUUAAAAUUUUCAAGUACAACUAGUGAUUGAACUUCAAUUCUAAAGCUAUUCAAUUCUAGCAUGACAAGUUAGGUUUA